AGUACUGUUCAUAGCCAGCGGCACAGAGCAGUAGGUGACUUGGAGUUUUCAUUUGCAAGUGUUCUCUCAGAGACAACUACCAGCUGAUUGCAAUAUUGAUGCGGGUAGUGUGAUUCUGGAAUUUCACCAGCACUGCUCAUAGAGCAGGGCUGCUGUGGAAGACUUGCUGUUGGAAAGGCUCUGCAAGCCAAGCUUCCCUCUGAAGCUCAUGCAGAAAGCCACGUCUCAAGACUCCCAGCCACAAACUGAUGAAGGUGACCAGAAACACACCAUAACCAUUGCAGCUGGUCAAAGAAUCUGUAAUAGGCCCGCAAGGAGCUCAACUGAGCAAUUCCCUCAGAAGCAAAGAGGGGAGGAGUAUGUUCUCACUGUGCAGCGGAAGACGGAUGCAGUCUACGGAGGCAAGUGAAGUGCUGCUUAUUAGAUCAAAGCUAAGCAUCUCUGUUCGACAUACUUCAAACAGGAACUGAAGAUGGUGGUUCUCCAAGUGGUUUUUAUUGGGUUUCCUGUGUUCAGUUUAGGGAAAACAGACAACAGGAGUUGUUUAAAAUAAAGCUGUAAUUUACUAUCCUAACAUGCUGAGAAGCAAUUAGAUUCAGGCUAAUUACUGUAAAUAGUUUUUAUAAUUACUUGUAAAACAUUCUAAUACCUGUACAUCUGCUAAAGUCAGUCAAGGCCUGUAGCAGUAUUUUUUUUUAAUAAGAGAAGGCUUAAUGUUAUUACUCAAGGGCUAAACUGUUUUCUUGAAAUCUUCAGAAAGCAGUAGCUAUGCUGUAGAAACUACUGCUAGAAAGCAUCUAUUAGGGCAUGCAUCCCCUUCACAAGACUGUGUGUAUCAGUAAACUGAAGAGUUGUCUAGGCUAGUUUGUAUUUCACAACUAUCUCUACUACUACCUGGAAAGACUGUUCCAGAACCUAAAAAGAUCUUUGUCAAAAGAAGAAUCAAAUAAUUUUCAGCUGAAUCCUGAUUUUCUUAAGCUUUCUCCUAUUAUUAAGGCUUUUCUCUCUACGUGAAGUGUACAGAAAAAAAUCUCUCCCUUAUGUCCUUCUACCACAACCAUUAUUUUUCAGUUCAGCAUUGGUCACUUUGGCCUGGCCCUUCACACUUUCACAGGCACACAAACCAGUUGGAGUUCCACCAUCUCUGGGUCCUCACAGUCACAGCUGUUUUUUCCUCUUCCCACAGGUCUACCAACUCUUGUUCUGAAUUUGACCCAAUGGUCUCCAGUUUGGACAACUAUUUCUGCACUGCUGAUGAGUGCUCAGACAAUCCUAGUCUGUUGUUUGGGUUUUGGUUCACCUGAGAAGGUCUCCUGAUGUCUGGGGCAAUUCCAAGAAGCACUCAUGGAUAGUUUACAUUGGUUUAUUUAAGCAUACAGUAAUGCAUUGGCAACUUUUUUCAACAAAGGGUGAUUUCCAUACAUGUACAAGUCUUUCUCACACAAAAUAUACAUCUUACCUGUCAAAUAACAAAACACAAAUAUAGGAAUGUGUUGUUGGGUUGUCCUACCAUUUAUGAGCUUCAUUUUAGCUCUAAUCUUACUACACAGAGACAAUUGAUUGUAAUCCUGCACAUAGAAUGGCAUGGGACCUGAUGACCAUGAGGUUGAGAGCAAAUCUGUAUACUGGAAUGUGAGGGGGAAGAGGAACUAGAAGUCCAUUUUUUCACAUGUUAUUACCCUUCUCCUGCAGUGGAAGGAUAUUUCCUUGCACACCUUUACCUUUUUAGCUUGUUGUAACAUAGAGCAGCUUCACACAGGUCUUGCACAGUUGAUGAUAGAAAUGCUGCCGACCUCUUCUGCAGUUGAUAGAAAAGCUUGUCAGAAGCCAAGGUGAUGGCCACAAGCUGCUCUGAUCACAUUCCACAGCUCUCAGACUGUCCUGUUGGCCUCGUAUAUCUUACCAAUGGUAUCACUUCAGGAAUGUUUAUGAACAGAUAGACUUUGGACCUCCAAGUGGAUAUUAAGCUACUACAGCAAUAGAGGUGUACCUCCAGAAGGUAAGUGAAGAAAGAAGAAGAAAGCAAAGCAUUAGUAAAAAAAAAUUAAUUUUUUUUUUUUAAGAAGUGUUGAAGUGGUUUCAUAGAAAAACCUCAUUUCUUACUGUUUUCCCUUUGAAAUACUCCUGGUUUAAAAUCCAGAUACACAAAACCAGUCCAUUUUUUCAAAACUGACAUAUGGCAAAAAGUGGUAGCAGUAAAUAAAAGCACAUAAAGCUAAACUGCACCGUUCUAAAUGUUAGUAAAAAUGACAAAAUAAAAUAGUAGCUAUAUAAACUACGCACAGGUGUGUAACAUAUUACAAGCAAAAAACAUAGCUCGCAAUUAUAAACCUACACUAUUUAUUUCACUUGUCUGUAAUUACAUUUUAUACAUGUUUGUUUAGUAAUAUCAAUCCAAGACAUCAUUUUGAGGAUAUAAUUAACUGCAUGUUAGAACAGAAUGUGUUUGAUUGGUUUGUGUUGCACCAGAGAAAAGGCUUUGUU
Molecule: long non-coding RNA, 2484 nt
Organism: Neopsephotus bourkii (Bourke's parrot)
Lineage: Eukaryota; Metazoa; Chordata; Aves; Psittaciformes; Psittacidae
Exons: 3
Source: RefSeq, a predicted model, not a curated record